Molecule: long non-coding RNA, 722 nt
Filed under: Calidris pygmaea (Spoon-billed sandpiper)
Lineage: Eukaryota; Metazoa; Chordata; Aves; Charadriiformes; Scolopacidae
Description: lncRNA (ENSCPGG00000009630.1)
Source: RNAcentral
AUGAAUAAAUCUCAGUGGAGAAAAUGUUAUUGGGUUUUACCUAAAGCACAAGACAGGACUGCAAAACACAUAUUUAGCCUCGGUUUCACGAGACCUCUUCUACUUAGUCUUUGCUCUAAAAUUGGCACAAUUGUUCAGUACAAGCAGCAUUUUUUUCCUCAUCUUGAUCUGGUGUCUGUACAAAUCUGGCUUGGUUUUUGGUUUGUUUUUUUGUUGUUUUUUUUUUUUCCGCACUGUCGGGAAUUUUUUAAACCGUGUUAAUUGUAGUCAGCUGCAUAAUGUUUGUUAGGCCUCUCCACCAAGCUCUUUAAAUGAACGUCAGUGGCUGUCUUCCCUUGGACAAUAAUGAAUGUAUAUAUCGUAAGUGCAGACUAUACAGAAAAGUGGCUAAGUCAAGGAUCAGAGGGUUUUGUAAAGCCUGUUUAUUUUUUUAAAUGAGUUUGAGCAUUUAUAUUUUACCACCAUUUACGUGGUUUUGGGGAACCCAGAUUGUGUCAAGAUCUCAUGCCAAAACAAGCCAAAAGUUGUUUGAUUUCAACCUUUUCUUCCAUGAACCAUAUUUUAAAUGAUACUUUGUCAUUUUAAAUGUUUUAUUGAAACAUGUACUGAUGAAAAAAACAAACAAAAUGUCAUCUUGACAAAAGAUUUAUACAUGAAUCAGAAAGUAUUUAUUUCAAUUUUGUACCUUUCCAUUUUAAUACAUUAUAAUGUAUUGACUCAAC